GAUAAACGCUGGCGGCGCACAUAAGACAUGCAAGUUGAACGGACUUAAUCGAAAUAUUUAUAUUUUGAAGCGGUUAGUGGCGGACUGGUGAGUAACGCGUAAGGAACCUGCCUAUUAGAGGGGAAUAACAGUGAGAAAUCAUUGCUAAUACCGCAUAUGCCAUAGAUAUCACAUGAUAACAGUGGGAAAGGAGCAAUCCGCUAAUAGAUGGCCUUGCGUCUGAUUAGAUAGUUGGUGGGGUAACGGCCUACCAAGUCGACGAUCAGUAGCCGGACUGAGAGGGUGAACGGCCACAUGGGGACUGAGAUACGGCCCAGACUCCUACGGGAGGCAGCAGUCGGGAAUAUUGCGCAAUGGAGGAAACUCUGACGCAGUGACGCCGCGUAUAGGAAGAAGGUUUUCGGAUUGUAAACUAUUGUCGUUAGGGAAGAGAAAGGACAGUACCUAAGGAGGAAGCUCCGGCUAACUACGUG
This 473-nucleotide ribosomal RNA is filed under the name uncultured bacterium. Its description in RNAcentral is "partial 16S ribosomal RNA". It matches the Rfam family "Bacterial small subunit ribosomal RNA", at positions 28 to 507 of the family's 1533-position model. The record is from RNAcentral.